Long non-coding RNA from Juglans regia (Persian walnut), 907 nucleotides. RefSeq lists it as uncharacterized. The transcript is spliced from 2 exons. NCBI's taxonomy places the organism in Eukaryota, Viridiplantae, Streptophyta, Magnoliopsida, Fagales, Juglandaceae. The record is from RefSeq and is a predicted model, not a curated record.
UCAACGUACAGUGCAUAAAAAAGAGAGAUGGAUAAGAAGAAAGCUAAUUUAAUUAUGGGUCUGGUCUGAAUCUGAUUGAUGAUGGGUACUAUUUUGGAGUGGUUGAAGCAUUACCAAAAGUUGACAAAUGAAGUUGGAGGUUAAUGGAAUCCGAUUAUCCCACCCGUGAAAAGAGGACAUAAAGAGAGUGCUUAUCUAUCUAUAAUCAUCUUAAAUCUUGAGUUGGAGUUCACGCCCCCAUCACCUUUUUCUAUCUUUAGCCUUAAUUAACCAAAUUCCAUCUGUUUCUUUAUCUUAUCCACAUCCAAGGUGGUGGGCUAGUUUAGUUAAUUCUUUGCUGAAAAUAGGCCAUUGAAGAGCUUUCCAAAGAAGAGACCAAAGAAACCUCAAUCGAGAUGGCCAACAAGGAGAUGAAGGUGGAGAUUCCAACGCAUGGUGAACAUAUGACAGGCAUUUCUGGCCGGCUGACAAGACAGCCUAGUACUGGGAAGGGCAACUGUCUAUGCUCUCCCACCACGCAUGCAGGUUCCUUCCGUUGCAGACUUCACCGCUCCCCAAGCCUUCAGCGAACCAGAAGCAUGGACUCUACAUCCCUUCGAGAUUCAACCUCAAAGGGUAAUACUCCCACUGCUGAUGCUGCUGACAAACAGAACACAGUCAAGGCCCAGUAUUGAUUCUUAUAGCUAUAAGUGCAAGUUGCUGGUGCUGCAGCUCCUUUUUAUUGCUUGUACAGCUCGAGCUAUCCACUAUCUUCUUGGUUGUUUCUUUUAUAAUUUUGAAUCCCCCUGCUGUUUGUCUCUCCCUCUCUUUUUUUGCCUAGUAUUUUCAAAUGCAAUGUAUCUGCUGCUUCUUAAGCCUUAAAGGUACAGAGUGUUGGGAUUUUAAUGUAAAGCAGUCUUGUGCUCAA